RNAcentral lists this ribosomal RNA (253 nucleotides) under uncultured bacterium. RNAcentral describes it as "partial 16S ribosomal RNA". It matches the Rfam family "Bacterial small subunit ribosomal RNA", at positions 524 to 776 of the family's 1533-position model. The record is from RNAcentral.
UACGUAGGGUGCGAGCGUUGUCCGGAAUUAUUGGGCGUAAAGGGCUCGUAGGCGGUUUGUCGCGUCGGGAGUGAAAACCUACAGCUUAACUGUGGGCUUGCUUUCGAUACGGGCAGACUAGAGGUAUGCAGGGGAGAACGGAAUUCCUGGUGUAGCGGUGAAAUGCGCAGAUAUCAGGAGGAACACCGGUGGCGAAGGCGGUUCUCUGGGCCUGACCUGACGCUGAGGAGCGAAAGCGUGGGGAGCGAACAGG